This 609-nucleotide long non-coding RNA is filed under the name Rattus norvegicus (Norway rat). Its description in RNAcentral is "long non-coding RNA NONRATT025465". The record is from RNAcentral. Lineage: Eukaryota; Metazoa; Chordata; Mammalia; Rodentia; Muridae.
GAAGAAGAGAACAAGAGCCUGUCAGAAAUGCUGUUACCCUCUUUUCCCCUUGAAAAGUGUUUAAGUAUUAUGUGUUUAAGUAUUUUGCCUGUAUGUGUUUGCAUGCCACAUACAUACAUGCCUGGUGUCCAGCUGGUGUUAAGCCUAUUGUCCAGCUAGUCCAACAGUGGCUGUCUACCAAGCAGAAAGUGCAAGAAUCCAGUAGUUGUCCAGUCCAUGAGACUGAGUGUCUCGGCUGGUCUUCAGUGUACGCUGGGAUCCUGAAGGCUCUGGUGGCAGUGAAGAAUCGGACUUGCAGCCUUGCCGGGAGAGUGACCAGCACAGAGUGAGGGCUUCCUCCUGUAUCCUUUUUUUUUUUUGGUUCUUUUUUUCCGGAGCUGGGGACUGAACCCAGGGCCUUGCCCUCCUGUAUCCUUAUAUAGGUGAAGGGCAGGAGAGGUGGCCCACAUUAAAGGUGGGUCUUUAAUUAAGAAGAAAAUCCCUCAGGUGUGUCCAGCCUCUAAUUCCAAUUACAGUCAAGCUGACAACCACGACUGACCAUUGUAAGUCAGUUCAGCACACAGUCAUAUUUUGCCUAAUUUCCAAAUAAAAACAAUAACCUGCUCAUAA